This 503-nucleotide ribosomal RNA is filed under the name uncultured bacterium. RNAcentral's name for it is "bacterial SSU rRNA". It matches the Rfam family "Bacterial small subunit ribosomal RNA", at positions 33 to 507 of the family's 1533-position model. The record is from RNAcentral.
ACACGCUGGCGGCGUGCCUAACACAUGCAAGUCGAACGAGUUGUUUAAGGUAGCAAUAUUUUGAGCAGCAAGUGGCGAACGGGUGAGUAACACGUAGAUAAUCUGCCUUUCAGACGGGGAUAACUCAGGGAAACUUGUGCUAAUACCCGAUGAGACUACGGAGGGGGGACCUUCGCAGCCAAAGGUGGGCGAAAGCUCACGCUGGAAGAUGAGUCUGCGUCCUAUCAGCUAGUUGGUAGGGGUAAAAGCCUACCAAGGCGAAGACGGGUAGCCGGCCUGAGAGGGUGAACGGCCACACUGGGACUGAGACACGGCCCAGACUCCUACGGGAGGCAGCAGUGAGGUAAUUUUCCGCAAUGGGCGCAAGCCUGACGGAGCGACGCCGCGUGAGGGAUGACGGCCGUUCGGGUUAGUAAACCUUCUUUUAUUAAGGAAAAAGGCAAUCGUGCUAACACCACGGUUGUUUGAUGGUACUUAUUGAAUAAGCCCCGGCUAACUACGUG